AGAGGGUGCGAGCGUUAAUCGGGAUUUACUGGGGCGUAAAGCGUGCGUAGGCGGCUUCUUAAGUCGGAUGUGAAAUCCCUGAGCUUAACUUAGGGAAUUGCAUUCGAUACUGGGAAGCUAGAGUAUGGGAGAGGAUGGUAGAAUUCCAGGUGUAGCGGUGAAAUGCGUAGAGAUCUGGAGGAAUACCGAUGGCGAAGGCAGCCAUCUGGCCUAAUACUGACGCUGAGGUACGAAAGCAUGGGGAGCAAACAGGAUUAGAUACCCUGGUAGUCCAUGCCGUAAACGAUGUCUACUAGCCGUUGGGGCCUUUGAGGCUUUAGAGGCGCAGCUAACGCGAUAAGUAGACCGCCUGGGGAGUACGGUCGCAAGACUA
This 373-nucleotide ribosomal RNA is filed under the name uncultured organism. RNAcentral describes it as "partial 16S ribosomal RNA". It matches the Rfam family "Bacterial small subunit ribosomal RNA", at positions 527 to 896 of the family's 1533-position model. The record is from RNAcentral.